UGGCUGUGAUGUCUGAAGUAUAAUACCAUCAAACUACGAAAGCUAUUGAUUAUAGCUUAUUGAUUCAAUUCUUACUCGCUGAGCCA
This is a small nucleolar RNA of Ipomoea nil (Japanese morning glory), 86 nucleotides long. It matches the Rfam family "small nucleolar RNA snoR116". NCBI's taxonomy places the organism in Eukaryota, Viridiplantae, Streptophyta, Magnoliopsida, Solanales, Convolvulaceae. The record is from Rfam.